AUUGAACGCUGGCGGCAGGCUUAACACAUGCAAGUCGAGCGGGGGAAGGUAGCUUGCUACCGGACCUAGCGGCGGACGGGUGAGUAAUGCUUAGGAAUCUGCCUAUUAGUGGGGGACAACAUCUCGAAAGGGAUGCUAAUACCGCAUACGUCCUACGGGAGAAAGCAGGGGAUCCUCGGUCCUUGCGCUAAUAGAUGAGCCUAAGUCGGAUUAGCUAGUUGGUGGGGUAAAGGCCUACCAAGGCGACGAUCUGUAGCGGGUCUGAGAGGAUGGCCCGCCACACUGGGACUGAGACACGGCCCAGACUCCUACGGGAGGCAGCAGUGGGGAGUAUUGGACAAUGGGGGGAACCCUGAUCCAGCCAGGCCGCGUGUGUGAGGAAGGCCUUAUGGUUGUAAAGCACUUUAAGCGAGGAGGAGGCUACUUUAGUUAAUACCUAGAGAUAGUGGACGUUACUCGCAGAAUAAGCACCGGCUAACUCUGUGCCAGCAGCCGCCGUAA
RNAcentral lists this ribosomal RNA (501 nucleotides) under uncultured bacterium. RNAcentral's name for it is "partial 16S ribosomal RNA". It matches the Rfam family "Bacterial small subunit ribosomal RNA", at positions 30 to 523 of the family's 1533-position model. The record is from RNAcentral.